CAAGCGAUCUGCCGCCGCCGUCGAUGGCCACGCCAAUCGGCCGGGAGCAACCUGCGUCAAAAGAGGCGCAUUGGAACCACAGGGGACUACGAUCACGAGUCCUCCCUGGGCGAGGGAAUGUUCGGCGUCGUCGCCAAAAGGCGGCACCGUGCCACCGGUCAAGUCGUCGCCAUCAAGUCCUUCCGCAACCCGGGCAAGAAGGACGAGCCCGUCGACGCCCAGGAGGUGCUGCGGGAGGCCCGCUUCCUGGAGGCGUGCGGCGGCCACCCGCACAUCGUCGGCUUCCGCGGCGUCGUGCGGGACUACGUCACCAACGAGCUCUGCCUCGUCAUGGAGUACGUCCAAGGGAAGAGCCUCCACUGCCUCCUGAGCAAGAGGCGCGGCGGGCUCCGGGAGGCCACGGUGCGGGAGUUCAUGUGGCAGCUCCUCACGGCGGCCACCGAGAUGCACCGGCGCCACGUCGUCCACCGCGACAUCAAGCCGGCAAACAUAAUCGUCGGUGAAGGAGAAGGAACGCUCAAGCUCUGCGACUUCGGGGUCGCCUUGUCCAUGUCGGAGGCGCCGCCGUACAGGCCGGCCGGCACGGGCAUCUACCGAGCCCCCGAGAUGCUCCUAGGAAAGCGGGACUACGACGCCCUGGUGGACACGUGGUCGCUUGGGUGCGUCAUGGCGGAGACCAUCACCGGCGAGAGGCUGUUCGAUGAGGACAAUUCGACUUGUCUUCUCCGAAGGAUCUUUGAAGUGGUCGGGAUGCAGGACGACACAAGCUGCCCGGGGUUCACAUCACUGCCGUUCGCGGACGCGGUGCCGCCACAGGUGCCGACGGUGCAGCGGAGCACGCUGCGAGAGCUGUUCCCGGAGGAGACGCUGUCCAAGGAGGGGUUUGAGGUCCUGAGCGGCCUUCUCGCCUGCAAUCCCGACAAGCGGCUGACGGCGGCCGCCGCGCUCAGGUUGCCCUGGUUCGCCACCAUGGCUGCAAACGCCCGUCCUCCUGCGGCCGCUACGACGACGGUGUCCAUCAAGGCGGAGGAAGUAGAGAUCGCUCCGACAGCGCUACGCAGAAAGAAAGUAACUGCAAAGAAAUAUCUGUCAUUGUUUGUAACAAGAUAG
Molecule: ribosomal RNA, 1110 nt
Filed under: Triticum aestivum (bread wheat)
Lineage: Eukaryota; Viridiplantae; Streptophyta; Magnoliopsida; Poales; Poaceae
Description: partial small subunit ribosomal RNA
Source: RNAcentral